This 253-nucleotide ribosomal RNA is filed under the name uncultured bacterium. RNAcentral's name for it is "partial 16S ribosomal RNA". It matches the Rfam family "Bacterial small subunit ribosomal RNA", at positions 524 to 776 of the family's 1533-position model. The record is from RNAcentral.
UACGUACCGUCCAAACGUUAUUCGGUAUCACUGGGCUUAAAGCGUUCGUAGGCGGCCUAGAAGGUGUGAUGUGAAAGCCCACGGCUCAACCGUGGAACUGCGUCGCAAACCACUAGGCUUGAGGAAGACAGGGGUGAAGGGAACUUAUGGUGGAGCGGUGAAAUGCUUUGAUAUGAUAGGGAACACCGAUGGCGAAAGCGCUUCACUGGGUCUUUUCUGACGCUGAGGAACGAAAGCUAGGGUAGCACACAGG